This 544-nucleotide ribosomal RNA is filed under the name uncultured bacterium. Its description in RNAcentral is "partial 16S ribosomal RNA". It matches the Rfam family "Bacterial small subunit ribosomal RNA", at positions 355 to 914 of the family's 1533-position model. The record is from RNAcentral.
UGGGGAAUAUUGCACAAUGGGCGAAAGCCUGAUGCAGCAACGCCGCGUGAGUGAUGAAGGCCUUCGGGUUGUAAAGCUCUGUCUUUUGGGACGAUAAUGACGGUACCAAAGGAGGAAGCCACGGCUAACUACGUGCCAGCAGCCGCGGUAAUACGUAGGUGGCAAGCGUUGUCCGGAUUUACUGGGCGUAAAGGAUGCGUAGGCGGAUUUUUAAGUGAGAUGUGAAAACCCUAAGCUUAACUUGGGGACUGCAUUUCAUACUGGAAAUCUAGAGUGCGGGAGAGGAGAAUGGAAUUCCUAGUGUAGCGGUGAAAUGCGUAGAGAUUAGGAAGAACACCAGUGGCGAAGGCGAUUCUCUGGACCGUAACUGACGCUGAGGCAUGAAAGCGUGGGUAGCAAACAGGAUUAGAUACCCUGGUAGUCCACGCCGUAAACGAUGAGUACUAGGUGUAGGAGGUAUCGACCCCUUCUGUGCCGCAGUUAACACAAUAAGUACUCCGCCUGGGAAGUACGAUUGCAAGAUUAAAAACUCAAAGGAAUUGAC